GACUGACCGUUAUGGUGGUAUAAUGGUUAGAGGGUCUGCCUUGGAUGCAGGAGGUCGUGGGUUCAAUUCCCAGUCGAGUCA
Potamilus streckersoni is the source of this 81-nucleotide non-coding RNA. Lineage: Eukaryota; Metazoa; Mollusca; Bivalvia; Unionida; Unionidae. The record is from the annotation of a GenBank genome assembly.